UCUUUAUCCUAAAAUCUGAAUUUAUUUCUAGAUAUAGACUUUGAAAAAUAAAAAAAUCAUAACAUUUUUUUGUUUUAUCAUUAAGUAACACUUAUAUAAAAUCUAAAUUAGAAAUCUAAAUACCAAAAAUUGAAUAUUAAAACUGAAAAAAAGAAAAAAAAAUAGAUUUUAUUUAGGAAAUUUAGAAACUAGAAGCCCUAGUUUUCUUCGUCUCUCACAUCUAAUCUCCCUGCCUCCUCCUGCGUCCUCCCUGUCUCUCUCGACUCUCUCUCUCCCCUCUCGACUCCGCCGCCGGCGCCGCUGCCCCGCGCCGGCCCGUCGCCGCCCACCCUUGUCGCUGCGUCACGCCGCUGCCGCCCACCCUCGUCUCCCUCUUAAUCUCCUCUCUCUCUGACUCAAAUGCACGCACACCACACCGCGCCUGAAAUCCUAGAUCUAUAAUCUACAGCCACCUCCCUGCCGAUUCCCGUCGACCGCACGGCGGAAAGGCCGCCGCCUCCGAGCGCAGCCCAAAGCCCCCUCUUCUCUCCAUACUCCGGCGACAACAGCGGCUCCUUGCCGCCGCCGUGCCCUAGCUUCAAUCCGCCGCUGAACUCCCUCUUCCGGCCGCACCACCUGUCCGACCACCACAGCACCAGUCCAGCCGCCUUCGUCGCAGUGCAACACCACCGCGACCCACUCCAGAACCGCUGCCCCCCACCAUCUCCCGGCAUCUACACAAGGCGGCUUCGUGCGCCACCCAUCGUUCCUAUCAUGAACGCCGAGGAAGAGCCACCAGUCGGCGCGAUUUACACCAUACCAGCAGCGCCAAACACCUCCUGCCACCGUCUCCCGCCGCCCAGUCACCUUCGCCCUUUUCCUGUCACCACCGUCAGUUUCCAGACACUGCCGCGCGGCCCCAGCUCCAAUCUCAACCCCGCUGUCUGCCGGAGCGAGCCCUGCCCUCCUCCACUGUUCAGGGAAGUUUAUUUCUUCAUUUUUGUGUUGUUCCAAUCAGGACUUGAUUUUUUGCUAAAUUAGGGCUCAAAUCUAGAAAAAGGCUUCCCCAAAUUGAUCUAUAAAAGGAUUUGAACAUAUUGACGCUAUUAAGUCCAGAUUUUUAGAUAUAUUACACUAUUAAAGACUAAGAGAUGAACUAAUUCGAUUCUAUAUGGGAUAAAUGAAAUUUUCUUGCUACAAACACUGGAAAAGUAAUAGUGACAGAUUCUGUAUGUUUAUCAAUGUGGAUUGUUGCUGGUUAAUAGUUUAGAACUAUAAUCAUCUUCCUUAUAGGAGAUUGUAGUGAUUGCUUUUACAGUGUGAAGUUUCUAUUGUGAAGGGGAUAAAAUGUAGUGCAUGUAGCAGUUGAAACAAUUAUAACUGUUAUUGUGCAUGGAUGAACUUCGAGGAAGUGUGAAUAGAGAAACUUUUGUGCUUGUGAACUAAAUGGUUGAGAUUAUUAAGACCUAAAAGUUCAUUACCAAAAAGUAUCUAAUUGUUAUAGUAAUUAGCUUUACGUUUCAUUUAGCAUUGCAGGUUCGGUGGACCUCGGAGGAGAGGAAGUGGUCCUUGUAUUUUACUCUUUUGUAGAAAUAAAAAAGCCUUUGAGUAGUUACUGUAAGCAUACAACCUUAUCAGAAUAUACCCAUCAUUGGGUAUAUUAAAGAAAAACUUGGAGCUGAUGAGAUGCUUUCUUGGGUUCAGCAUCAUAUUAAAAAUGGGUUCGCUGCUCUGGAGAAGCUUUUGGAGAAACAUGCUGGGAAAUAUGCUACAGAAGGUGAAGCUUUCUUGGUUCGUUGCUUCUCUUAUUGACAUUUUUUGCUGGUCAAAUUUAUUCCUGCCAUUCUUGGAAAACGAAGUAUAGUUAUUUGAGUUUUAACUUGAUGUUUCUAUCCUCAGAUCCUAGCUAAAGAGAAGCAAAUAUAAGACAAUACUAAUUUAGGACCGUCAAAGCAAAGACUGUCUGCAUGAUAUUGUAAAAUAUGAUUAGUUUCCUUGAGGAGAACAUUCAUAUAAGAACUGUUAAAUCCAGUUUGGCUCACUUUUAUAGAGUUUGUCUACAUUAUUUCGGUACGUUGAGAAGCAUUAAUUUUUGGUACAAAAAUCUGCAGGCUGAUUUGUAUUUGGCACCACAGAUUGAUGGUGCAGUUAGAAGGUUCAGUGUUGAUAUGAACGAGUUCCCUCUUUUGUCAAAGUUAAAUGAGGCAUACAAAGAACUCCCUGCUUUUAUUUAAGAAGCUAUGUUUUGCAGGUGAACUCGCUCGUGUUGGUGCAGGUUCAUUAUUGUGAUUGAGUUUAUCAUCUUGGCGGAUCAAGUAGAUGGGAGUCGAUGAGCUAUGAGGACUACUACAAACGAGAAGGCUGAAGCAGAGAACGUCGUUUCAAAUGUCUAGCAAGUUGCGCGCAUUUGUAAAAUUUUUUAAUUAAACA
Molecule: long non-coding RNA, 2409 nt
Organism: Salvia miltiorrhiza (redroot sage)
Lineage: Eukaryota; Viridiplantae; Streptophyta; Magnoliopsida; Lamiales; Lamiaceae
Exons: 5
Source: RefSeq, a predicted model, not a curated record